AGAAGCUGGUAUAUGUACUCGCACAUUUCCUGCUCAAUUCUGGUGUUCGUUCUUUGCUGUGAUUACUGGAGGUUUGACGCUUCAGUAGCUGCAUGCUUCAAGGAUUUAAAUUAAACAUAAAUCUGAAAAAAGUGGAAUAAAUAUUUCCAGAUCUGGAUUUAGUGAAGAAUGUAAAAAAAUUCUUCUUCAUUGAAUGCAAUUUCUUCGUUUUACAACAUCAAGUAUAUUUUCCAGUAGGAUGACAGGAAAACUAAAAGAAACGCCAGUAAAAGAACAAAAUACACCGGAGGAAAAAGAAAAACAGAGAAAGGGAAGUGCUAUGAGAGACAGAGCCAAACCUGCACAGAAGAAAACAACAUUAAAGAGAGGAAAAGAACAUGCCUGUGGAUUCAGAGAACACCUGAAAGUGCACCAGAUGAACAGUCUUGACGGAUAUCGACCGCGCUUCUCUCUUCGUCCAGACUGACUUGCAGAAAAUCAUUUUAUGUGAGAGAUAUUCAAAGACGAGAGUGUUCUUCAACAUCACUUUCAGUCAAUGAUUCAAAAUGAGACUGGAAUACAAAACACCAAUAUUUUUGAGUUCAAAACUGUAUAACUGUACUGUGUUCACAGGCUCAUAUAUGUGUCAUAUGAUAGUACUAUGAUCUGUUAGUGCUAAAGCAGUAACACCGAAAUCAAAUGUUUGAACUGUUUUGUACUAUUUGAACUGUAGCUCAUUUCUAGUAUAAAGCGCAUUGAGAACAAUGACUGUAAAGCGAUAGUUGUUCCAGAUAUGCCAGGUCACUCUUUUCCAUGUGAUCACAGUGAGACUGGAGAUUUCCUAAAGCUUCAUGGUUUGGUUUGUAGACACAUUGUCUAGAUUUUAACUCCUGUGACUUCAGGCACUUUAUUCUGGUGUGCAGAAGAUGAUUAUUCUUCUUUAAACGUGUCUUUAGCGUACUCAUACUUUCUGUUUAGAAGGUUUUUUUUAUCUGAAGCAUCUAGUAACCGGUGUCAAGUGUCUCAUUCAGGUGCACAAUGAUCUACGUUCUUGCAGUUUCAUGGCUGAAUGAGUUUCUGUAUUAUUUUGGUUCUUUUCACUUUGUUAAUGGUUAUGAAAGUGUCCUUAUUCCUGAACAGUUCUUUGUUUUCAGUCAUUAUGAUGACUAUCCAAAUCUGUC
This 1160-nucleotide long non-coding RNA is filed under the name Carassius auratus (goldfish). RNAcentral's name for it is "lncRNA (ENSCARG00000012422.1)". The record is from RNAcentral. Lineage: Eukaryota; Metazoa; Chordata; Actinopteri; Cypriniformes; Cyprinidae.